UACAGAGGGUGCAAGCAUUGUCCGGAUUUAUUGGGCGUAAAGCGUUUCGUAGGCGGAUUUGCAAGUUAUUUUUCAAAGACCAGGGCUCAACCCUGGAAAGGGGAAUAAUACUAACAAGUCUUGAAUUGUAUCGGGGUUUUCGGAACUUGCGGUGUAGGGGUGAAAUCCGUUGAUAUCGCAAGGAACACCAAGGGCGAGGCAGAAAACUAGGUACUAAUUAACGCUGAGGAACGACAGCUAGGGGAGCGAAAGGG
RNAcentral lists this ribosomal RNA (254 nucleotides) under uncultured bacterium. Its description in RNAcentral is "partial 16S ribosomal RNA". It matches the Rfam family "Bacterial small subunit ribosomal RNA", at positions 524 to 776 of the family's 1533-position model. The record is from RNAcentral.